UACGGAGGGUGCAAGCGUUGUCCGGAAUCACUGGGCGUAAAGGGCGCGUAGGCGGCUCGGUAAGUAGGGGGUGAAAUCCUGCGGCUUAACCGCAGGGCUGCCUUCUAAACUGUCGAGCUUGAGCACGGUAGAGGCAGAUGGAAUUCCCGGUGUAGCGGUGAAAUGCGUAGAUAUCUGGAGGAACACCGGUGGCGAAGGCGGCAUCCUGGACCAAUUCUGACGCUGAGUGAGCGAAAGCCAGGGGAGCAAACGGG
RNAcentral lists this ribosomal RNA (254 nucleotides) under uncultured bacterium. RNAcentral's name for it is "partial 16S ribosomal RNA". It matches the Rfam family "Bacterial small subunit ribosomal RNA", at positions 524 to 776 of the family's 1533-position model. The record is from RNAcentral.